Molecule: non-coding RNA, 6362 nt
Organism: Callithrix jacchus (white-tufted-ear marmoset)
Lineage: Eukaryota; Metazoa; Chordata; Mammalia; Primates; Cebidae
Source: RefSeq, a predicted model, not a curated record
CCUGGAGGGUGGGUGGGGCAGAGAUGGCUGACCCCCUGCACCUGCACCAGCCCUGGCUGCCCCUAACUCUCCUCACCACCGAGGCCUGCAGUCUCCCUGCUGAGCCCAGUUCCCUGAUGCUUCAGUUGUCCUGUCCUCAAUACUCACCUUCCCCAUAUAUCUCUGAGGAUGUGACUCUAAAUCUUCACCAUGGGACCAUCGCAGUGGUAAAUGCAGUGUGCUAGGCCCUGUACUAGUUUCUUUACACACAUCCCACUCCCACAGCAAUGGAGACAGCACCCUAAUUUUGUGGUGAGAAAAUGGAGGCUCAGGACGGGAAUGUGACAUCUCCAAGGUUACACAGGUAUUCAGUGGCACAGCCUGGACACAAGCUCAGGGCUGAGGAACCACUCACUGUAGUGUCAGAGCUCCCUUCCUGGCUUCCUUCCACUCCUCCAUGUUCUCGUUUCCAUCCUCUCAAGCGGCAGCCUAGUAGGAUGGAAGGAGCAGCAGUUUCAGAGUUGAAUGAAAAGUUCAAGUUCAAAUACUGACCUUCUCCAGCUACAGCACUUUAGGCAAGCCAAGCACUGAGGUCUCAGCACAAUGCAGAGGUGACUCCUGCCUUUCCAGGCGGUCAUGAAGAUUAAGCGGCACUGGGUCCUACACCAUCUCCCCUCUUCACUGCCUCCUCCUGCCCCUAAAUGUUGGUGUGGUGCAGGGUUUCAUUCUCCUCCCUUUACUUGACCUGUCUGCUCUUCCUGGGCAAUAUAGUAAAAUAUACUACAAGCCUUUAGUUUGCACCCUUGUGGUAAUGAGAUUCAAGUCUCCAGUCCUGAUCGUCUUCCAUGAGUCCUAAACCCUACUCCAAUGCUCACUGGAACCUCUGUGUCUCCCAGGGUGUCUUAUAGACUCUUCAAGCUUAAGGUCAACACUGAACUCCUUUUCUCUGUUCCCACCACCUGACCAAGCCUGCUCCUCUCCCUACCUCAGAUGCUGUCCUCCCUACUUAUCCUGUCCCCUCCUCUCCUGUAUCUUUCUCACCCUCCAUAUCCAGUUCGGUCACCAAGUUCUCGAACAUUCCUCAAACAUGGCUAUUCCGCUCCGCUCCCUUUGCUGCUGCCCUAGUUCAGGUCAUCACUUCUUGCCUGAACUCUGGCAAUGGCCUCUUCACCUGUCUCUCCCUGACUCCAGUUCUUCCCCAAAUCCAGUCCCUCCUCAGCCAGGUAGUCUCCUAAAGGCUCGACCUGCCCCAUGACACUGGUGGCUCUCUGUGGCCUGCAGGAUAAAGCCUGAGUCUGGCAUUUAAGCCAAGUCCUUCCAACUGGCUCUGCCCCAGCGUUCCAGUCUUAACCCCCAGUGCUCCUUGCCACCACACCCCUGCCAACCCCUACACAUGCCCCGUACAGUCUAGCCACGCCAGGGUAUGCACUGUUCCCUGGUCUUGACCUGCCUUCCUCUCCCUUGCAGAAUACUCUUCGACCUCCAAAGCCCAGCUCAAAUAUCAUCCCCUUGGUUAAACAGUGUCCAAUUCUCUGAGGCAGAGUUAAUAGCUCACUGUGCUCACUUCCCACAGAGGUCCUCUGCCCUGGCCUCCAUGACGGUUCUGAUCACAGAGAGAGGAACCUGGCCAAGCAGCAGGAGCUCGGGCUUUCCGGUCAAGCAGACCACACUUCAUAGUUCCAGUCCAUCACUUACUGGCAGUUUUAUUUUGGGAAAAUGACUUACCCACUCACAGUUUCCAUUUGUUUUACUUUUUUUUUUUUUUUUUUUUUGGUGAUGGAGUCUUGCUCCUGUUGCCCAGGCUGGAGUGCAGUGGCCUAAUCUCAGCUCACUGCAACCUCUCCCUCCUGGGUUCAAGUGAUUCUUCUGCCUCAGCCUCCCAAGUAGCUGGGAUUACAGGUACCUGCCACCAUGUGUGGCUAAUUUUUGUAUUUUUUUUUUUAGUAGAGAUGGGGUUUCACCAUGUUGGCUGGUCUCAAACUCCUGACCUCAGGUGAUCCACCUCCCUCGGCCUCCUAAAGUGCUGGGAUUACAGGCGUGAGCCACCAUGCCCAACCUUGUUUCACUUUUAACAGGGAUAAUGAUUCCUGCCUUGGAGACAUGGUGGUUACGGGGUUCAGAAAUCACAUAUAUACAUAGCACCAAGUCUCCUGGUGUGAAAGUUAAGAAUCACAGACUGCCUUGGUUCAAGUCCUGGCUCUAUGAUUUAUACUAGCUGUGUGGCUUUGGCAUGGUACUUUGUGCCUCAGUUUCCCUCUUUGUAAAAAAGGAAAAAUGCUAGUGCUAUUCACAGGAUUGCUGUGUAGAUUAAAUGAAAUCAUACACAUUUAGUGCUUAGAAUAGUGCUUGAUUUAUAUGUGCCCUCUCUGACUAGCUCAUUGUCCCAUUUGCUUGUGUCAUGUGACAGAGAUCAUUCACUGGGUAUCAGACACUGUGCAAACACCUGUGCACAGUGUCUGAUACCCAGUAAACAAGAAAUAUUUGUUGAAUGAAGAGCAAGCAUAGCACAGAGGAGAGAGUGGUCAGUGAGACACAAUUGUAGUUGGACAAGAGAACCUGGAGUGGGAGGGAUUCUGUGGGGUUAUGGGCUGAGCCAGUGGGAGCAGACAAGAGCCUGUGAAUCCCACCCUAAAUCGGUAGAGAGAAUGGGCAGUAGUUGGGAAGGGUAGGACAGCCAUGUCUCCAAGAUAGGAGUGCCAGAUCCUUUUCUCUGCUCCCACCACCCCACCAAGCCUGCCCCUCUCCCUACCUCAGAUGCUGUCCUCUCUACUCAUCCUGUCCCCUCCUUUCCUGUAUCUUCCUCACCUUCCAUAUCCAGUUCGGUCACCAAGUUCUCGAACAUUCCUCAAACAUGGCUAUUCCGCUCCGCUCCCUUUGCUGCUGCCCUAGUUCAGGUCAUCACUUCUUGCCUGAACUCUGGCAAUGGCCUCUUCACCUGUCUCUCCCUGACUCCAGUUCUUCCUCAAAUCCAGUCCCUCCUCAACCAGGUAGUCUCCUAAAAGCUCGACCUGCCCUAUGACACUGGUGGCUCUCUGUGGCCUGCAGGAUAAAGCCUGAGUCUGGCAUUUAAACCAAGUCCUUCCAACUGGCUCUGCCCCAGCGUUCCAGUCUUCACUAGUGUUCCAGUCUCAACCCCCAUUCUGAUUUGAUUGUGCUUCAAAUCAGAAUGGAAGGGUGCACAUGCAGAUGGGACAAUGAGAUGUGCCAGGGAGGCAGAGGAGGAGGCAGAGGAGAGGCCAGGCAUCAAGGCACUGGCCUCUCUGAGCAACAGGGAUGAGGGGGAGUGCUCCAGACAGGGGUGGGCCUUUCCUUGCACAUGGACGCUUCUUCUCUGAGUCAGUGGGAAGGAGACCACCGUGGCCUAGGCCUCUUCAGGGUGGCAGCCACUGCAGCCUCUUGACCUCUGGUAUGAGGGAUGCUAGGAUGGUGGGGAGGAAGGGAGGCCAGUACCUUGAUGCCUGCGCUUCGGCACUUGCCCACAGCAUCUGGCACAGCAGCCCGGGGAGGGUCGAUCAUAGACAUGAGCCCCACAAAGCAGAGCUUCUCCGUGGGAAAGUUCAGCUCAUCCGUGUCGAAUUUGAAGCCCCGAGGAAACUUACCAGAGGGCAGAUUCAGUUGACAGAACCCUGAAAGGGGGCAGAAGGGAGCAGUGAGAACCACAGGGUGGCUUCCUAGACGCCCCCACAGUCCUUCACCCCAGGGAUGCCACGGAGGCUUGGGAAUCCCCUUCUGGGCUUCCUGUUUCUGGCCUCUUACCCAGCACACGCUCUCCCAGUCCCCCCAGCUCCAUGUAGGCAUUUUGAAAGGCGUCUUGCAUCUCCUUGUCAAGCGGGAUCUCCUUGCCCUGCACCAGGAUGGUGGAGCACCGGUCCAGGAUGCGCUCUGGGGCCCCCUUCAUCACCAGCACGUGGCUCUGGGGGCUGUCUUCUCGCUCAUGGAUGGACAGCUGGAGAGAUGACAGGCAGUUACAGGGAGGGCGAUGCUUGAGUUGGUAGCUCAGCAUAGAGCAGCAGCUGGUAAGAAACCGCCUUAGCAAAGUAGCCCCAACCCAUCAAAGAUUGUCAAUAAAAAGAAUCUCCUUGGGCAGGGGGGUGUUUGGACCUUAUAGUUCCAACUCUUGUAAACUGAGAGCCACCUCCAUAGGACAGUCAUUCAUUCAACAAAUGUUUAUUGAGGUCUGUUUAAGAAGGCACUGUGCUAGGGGCUGGACAGCUCCCUCCUCAGCGUCCCCACCACCACCUGGUUUCAGUCAGGGGCCUUUACCUCUAUAGAUGAUACAGAAUGCUGAGACUGCAAUCUUGGCACUCAACAGGUGCCUAAAGGCUAAGGGGCACCACAAGGGAAUUACAGAAUUAUGGUUUCACUGAAUGGAGUAUAAGAGUUGGAAGGCUAGGCCAGAGGGUGGGGAGCCAUGGGAAGGAGAGUUGAGAGAGUGACAGAUUGUAGUAAGGGAUGGAGUAAGGUUUGGGAGCUGGGGUUAGUUGCAGUCAGACAUGCAGUCACAUGAACUGUCCUGGGGGGCGUGGCAGUGGAGGCAACACCACCCUCAGGUGCCCUGGCUCCUCCUAGUGAUGAUUCCCUGUGGGUUUGCCCACCCCCUGCCUCCCAUUUCUAUCUCUCCCUUUUCCUCUGUCCUGGCAACCCAAGCAGACCUGGUACUUGUUGGUCGAGUUGAAAGGAAUCUCUGCCACCUUGGGGUUUCUGUCUCUCAUCUUUCUCACUGAACCACAGGACAGCUCAAUGCACUUGAGUAGAGCUGACUCGGAGGCGUCACCAGCUGUGUCCCGCUGCCAGAAGAGACAAGAAUUCAGUGUCAGUGUGGGAAAAAGGGAGCGGAGGAUCGGGUGAAGGGGGCACCGAAGCUCCCAAGGCAGCCACAGCAUGGGAGAGGGAAAGCUGGGUGCAGCCAGCCAGAGGCCUUUGGAGACACUCCCAAAACACACUUGUUGUGUAUGCCAACCCCCUACCUUAGACACAGAGAUGUUCUCCUGUCCUGCCUUGAAGACAGCACGGUUGCAGAGACCAGCAAUUCGGGACAGGGCCGUCCACGUGGGGGAUCGUUUGUCAAAAGUGGCCCCUGGGAGGAAACAAGUGAGAACCAGGAGAAUGGCUCCCUUUAGAGCCUUUAUCUCAACCCUCCCCCACCACGCCACUGCCCCCCGAGUCCUCUAAUCCUCUCCACCCGCUCUGGAGCACCCAAUCACCAGACUGGUCUUCGGUGGUGUCAGCCUCAUGGAUUUGGUUGUCGAACCACAUGUGGGCAACGGUCAUGCGGUUCUGGGUGAGGGUGCCCGUCUUGUCCGAGCAGAUGGUGGACGUGGAGCCCAGCGUCUCCACCGCCUCCAGGUUCUUCACUAGGCAGUUCUUCCGUGCCAUGCGCUUGGCGGUCAGGGUCAGGCACACCUGGAAGAGAAAGAGGAGAAUAAAAACACUUCAGACUGUAGCUAGAAAUGACCAUGACCUUACCCUAGACCAUGGCUCCAUUCCUUCUCCCCUGAUCCACCCCACUAGCUUGAAUGGGUGGGACUUAGCUGUAAAUGAGGAAUGUUCAAUGUUAGAUAUGUUGAGAUCAUGAGUAUCUAUCAAGAUGACAUGCUGGGUAGGGGGUUGAAGACAUUUGACUAGAACUCCAGAGAGGGUCACAGCAGAGCUGGGCAUAGGGAUGUGCGAGUCAUCCACACAGAAGGGGCACUGGAAAUGCAGAGGAGAUUGGCUUUUGCUCCGGGCGUAGGAAGAGCAGAGAGCUGAGGCCUGAGAAUCAGCAUGGGGGGUGCACAAGGGGACAGAGGAGAAGCAAACCAGGAUAGCGACAGAUCACAGCAGUUGACAAAAGAGAGAAUGCUAGGAGGGUGGACAGCAGUAUCUGUUUCAGUAGCGGGGUUAGGGAGGAGAGCUGAGAAAAGGUCACUGGAUUUGCUAGUUAGUGACUGCUGGCCUUUGGAAUGAGACCCAGAAUGCUGGCAGAUCAUGAGAAAAGGCAACCGUGACAAGCUCCAGAAGAGAAAUUGAGUGCCCAAGUAUAGCCCCACCUGAGAUUUCUCAUCUCCCGCUCUGAGCCACGUAUUGAGUGAUCUCUGAGUAUAGCAUCCAUUAUGUGAUUCUAGGGGAAAGAAGCACUGAGAAGCUAUAAGCAACUGUACCUCUAUCACUUUGAGGAAAGAGUAGUGAGACCCUCCCCUGGUGGCACCUCAGCCUGAUCCACUCACAGUGACAGUGGCCAGAAGCCCCUCAGGCACGUUGGCCACGAUGAUGCCGAUGAGAAAGAUGACUGCCUCCAGCCAGCUGUAGCCCAGGAUGAGGGAGAGCACGAAGAAGGAGACCCCCAGGAAAACAGCAACCCCUGUGAUCAGCUGGAUGAAGUGUUCAAUCUCCAUGGCUAUGGG